This 497-nucleotide ribosomal RNA is filed under the name uncultured bacterium. RNAcentral's name for it is "partial 16S ribosomal RNA". It matches the Rfam family "Bacterial small subunit ribosomal RNA", at positions 28 to 507 of the family's 1533-position model. The record is from RNAcentral.
GAUGAACGCUGGCGGCGUGCCUAAUACAUGCAAGUCGAGCGAACGGACGAGAAGCUUGCUUUUCUGAUGUUAGCGGCGGACGCGGGAGUAACACGUGGAUAACCUACCUAUAAGACUGGGAUAACUUCGUGAAACCGGAGCUAAUACCGGAUAAUAUUUUGAACCGCAUGGUUCAAAAGUGAAAGACGGUCUUGCUGUCACUUAUACAUGGAUCCGCGCUGCAUUAGCUAGUUGGUAAGGUAACGGCUUACCAAGGCAACGAUGCAUAGCCGACCUGAGAGGGUGAUCGGCCACACUGGAACUGAGACACGGUCCAGACUCCUACGGGAGGCAGCAGUAGGGAAUCUUGCGCAAUGGGCGAAAGCCUGACGGAGCAACGCCGCGUGAGUGAUGAAGGUCUUCGGAUCGUAAAACUCUGUUAUCAGGGAAGAACAUAUGUGUAAGUAACUGUGCACAUAUUGACGUUACCUAAUCAGAAAGCCACGGCUAACUACGUG